RNAcentral lists this long non-coding RNA (3420 nucleotides) under Homo sapiens (human). RNAcentral describes it as "non-protein coding lnc-PRSS51-4:1". Lineage: Eukaryota; Metazoa; Chordata; Mammalia; Primates; Hominidae. The record is from RNAcentral.
GUCGCCGCCCGCGCCUUCCGUGUGGCCAGUGCUUACCCGCUACAGGGGUCUGUUCCUUCCGGCCCGGCAAGGCCUCCUGGGGGCUGACGAUGUUCGAGGCCGAGUUGCCCAUCCUCGGGACGGGAAAGAGGCUGUGGAGGAGGAGGAGCUGGCAAGCCCUCCGGGUGGCCGAGAGCAUGGGAGGGCGCCAGCCGAAGGGUGGUCCCGGGGGACGGCGCUACCGGCAGCGGAGCCGCAGCCGGAACGGCAGAGAGUGGGGUCCGCGGCCGGAACCGGGGGGCGGCAGGGGCGCGGGCGGGCGGGCGCGGGGCGCUGCUGGCGGGGCUGGAGGCCGCCCGUAAUCGAGGUUGCCCAAACCCGGGGCCGUACCGGCUGUCACCGGGGGCGUGUUCCUUCCCUGGACAGGGGGUGUGGCCCGGCGAGUUCCUGAGGUUCUCUCGGGACGAAGUUCUCGGACAGAGAACAAGUGCGCUCCUGUCGUACGAAGUACGUGAAGCUGCAGAGGCCAAAAAACACGCCGAGCCCUUGGGGAUGCGGUUUGAUUUUAAAGUUGCUGCCGUGUCGCCCCGACUUCGCAGUUUAGCAGUGCCCAGUAAGAUAGAAGAGGACCUGCCUUGCAGCCAGCUAGACUGUCAGUUUUUAUUGGAGACAUUGUCAUGACGGCCAUCAGAAGGGUUGCUAUUCGUCCAAAGUGAAAACUAAGCACAGUUCUCAAAAUGCGCGGAAUAGGGAAGAUGAAUUCAAUAUUAAGUUAUGUAUUUACAAACAUAUUUAAGCCCAUUUUGCAGCGGCCAAAAUACGGGAGCAAGGCACCAACAGCACCAUUAAGGCAGUGUAGGUGGACUUAAUGGUGGUGUUGUAUUAUUCUUGUUUCUCAAAUCAUAGGAGAUGACAUUUGUUCCUGUGACAUUCUCAAACUAAAUGUAAAGUGGUUGGAGCGAGGUGAGUGACUUGGGAGUUCAUCUGUGUGAGAUUUUGGCUUAACACAUGUUCUGCCAAAAUGGGCAGGUCGUCUCAGAUGAGGGAGGGAACUUCAGAUUAGCACCCACAGAAAGGAGGCUUUCACCCAGCUUCUUGCAUGGAUUUAGUUACCACUUUGUUUUCAUGUGGUCUGGACUGUAAGGAGGGCAGGAGGCUUAGCAGUGCUAUAGUGUAGAAUGAGGUGUGUUGCCAGGCAUACAACACUAAAAAGGCUCUAGCUUUGAUUUUGUAAUUUGUAUUUCCCCUGGACAAAAUGAUACCUAAACUGUUUGUUAUUGCUAUGAGGCUAUACCAAGUCGGUUCCACAGGCCUUUCAUGAAAACACCCCCAGGAGUCCCUUCUAGGCUUGCGAAGGCCUGGUCACUAUUAAGGGUCUGAAAAAAUAGUCAUUCUGUCAAAGACAAUAUUUUGUGUUUUUCAGUUACUUCUUUUUGAUACAUACUGAUUUGUCUGUGUUUUGUGGUUGAUUGUAUGAAGUUUCACAUGCUAGAAAUACUCUGCAACUAAGAGCUGAAGAAUGUUUAGUGUGAAGAAAUAACUUACUUGGCAUGAUGGCUCACUCCUGUAAUCCCAACACUUUGAGAGGCUGAGGCAGGAGGAUUGCUGGAGGCCAGGAGUUUGAGACGCCAUCUUUACCAAAAAAAAAAAAAAAAAAGGUAUUUAAGUAGUUGGGCAUGGUGGUGUGGUAGCGCACACCUGUGGUCCCAACUACUUGGGAGGCUGCACCAGGAGGAACGCUGGAGCCAGAGAGGUAGAGGCUGCAGUGAGCUAUGAUCACACUGCUGUGCUCCAGCCCGGGCAACAGAGCAAGACCUUGUCUCAAAAAAAAAAAAUUAAUUUUGAUGUUAAAUGAAAAAGUAAAACAAAUGCAGUGUGCGUGUAUACAUGUAGUAUAUAUGAAAAUGCAUGUACUCCCAGUUGCACAGCCACUGAACAAUUCGAAAAAAAUGCAAUUUUUUUUGUUCAGAAUAGUGGGAUUCUACUGCUUUUCAUUGUCUUUAAACUGUUUUAAGUGUUCUGUAUUGUUACAACGUUCUCGAGUAUUCCAAUGGCUGUUACUUUUAUAAUUAUAAAAGAAUAAGCAUUUUUAAAGAACAGAUAUAUCUUAUUUCAAAAACAAGGGUUUUUCGUUUACCAGAAUAGCUGCAAGAAAAGUUAUAUUAGUUUCUUUGGUGUUUUGAGGAAAGAAUUGAACAUUUUUGCCUUCAGUGGUGCCUUUUUCACCACUAGGACUUCCUUUUCUUCAGACAUUCCCCCUAAUCCAGCGGUCCCCCACCUUUUUGGCACCGUGGACGAGUUUCGUGGAAGACAGUUUUUUUCCACAGAUGGGGAAGGGGAGAUGGGGGAUGGUUUCGGGGUGAAACUGUUCCACCUCAGAUCAUCAGGCAUUAGUUAGCUUCUCAUGAGGUGUGUGCAGCCUAGAUCCCUCACAUGCACAGUUCACGAUAGGGUUUGUCCUCUGAUGAGAAUCUAAUGUCGCUGUUGAUCUGACAGCCACAUCUAACUUGGGAAGGUGGGAGAUGAGGUUCUCUUGCGGAGUGACUAUAGAUACAACUAAUACUUGGAUAUUUGGCAGUUCUAAUAAUAAAACAGGAAUGUUCUUUGGACAACUGUGACACAAUCUACUCCUCUGGCCCCUCAAAUAUCCAUGGAUACCCUUGUGACACAUAGAACACACCCUGUUUGAAGAGAGAAAACCCAGCAUUCUAAGCAGUUACUGCAUCCAGCUCAGCGUCCAUGAUCUAAAGAUGUAACAGUCCCUUACAAGUCUGAUAUAACUCCUCAUGGUCCAAUGACCUACAGAGUAAAUUAUGUUAUUUAUUCCCCUUUCUCUUCCCCACACAGCCAGUAUGCAGUGGUGAAGUAGGGCACGAAAACUAAUUUGGAAGAAGAGUGAGGACAAAAUAGUAGUUCUUUGUCUAAGCGAAUGUGAAGAGCAGAUUAGACUACAAAGCUUGCUGUACUUACAAUGUGUCCAAAAGUACAAGCCAGAGUGUCAUAUUUAUCAGGACACUGAAGGAAUGCAAAUUGUUCCACUAUGGUCUUUUGAGAGAUCACAUAAAACAGAGGAAAAUGUAGUCGUCGUCUAUUGUUAUGAAGAAAUGGCUCAUCUUAUAAAUUAUAUUUUGGUUGCUUUAUGGAAAUACCUACCAAAUCACAGUGUGACUGCAGCAAAUGUGGUUUUUUGGAAGAGCGCAGCCUGUCCAAUCAAUCUAAUUUCCUCAAGAGCAGGAUAGCUGUCUUUUAGAUAAAGGCAAAGAAUUAUAUGUGAAAUAUCUGAGUUUCAGCAAGUCUUUAUUCUAAUGAAUACGAUUCUGCCACAAAGAAUGGAGUCAACAUAGUCUGGUGCUGACUGCAUUGCUGAUGGAGAAGUUGCACUUGAAAAGAGGCUGUCUUUUCAACUCUGUGUUUAUUUGUAUUAAAUUAAAAGAAAACCAG